UACGUAGGCAGCGAGCGUUGUUCGGAGUUACUGGGCGUAAAGGGUGUGUAGGCGGUUGUUUAAGUUUGGUGUGAAAUCUCCCGGCUCAACUGGGAGGGUGCGCCGAAUACUGAAUGACUUGGAGUGCGGGAGAGGAGAGUGGAAUUCCUGGUGUAGCGGUGAAAUGCGUAGAUAUCUGGAGGAACACCGGUGGCGAAGGCGGCAUCCUGGACCAACACUGACGCUGAGGAGCGAAAGCCAGGGGAGCAAACGGG
This 254-nucleotide ribosomal RNA is filed under the name uncultured bacterium. RNAcentral's name for it is "partial 16S ribosomal RNA". It matches the Rfam family "Bacterial small subunit ribosomal RNA", at positions 524 to 776 of the family's 1533-position model. The record is from RNAcentral.